This 206-nucleotide ribosomal RNA is filed under the name uncultured bacterium. RNAcentral's name for it is "partial 16S ribosomal RNA". It matches the Rfam family "Bacterial small subunit ribosomal RNA", at positions 568 to 774 of the family's 1533-position model. The record is from RNAcentral.
CAUGUAGGCGGUUUUUUAAGUCCGGAGUGAAAAUGCGGGGCUCAACCCCGUAUGGCUCUGGAUACUGGAAGACUUGAGUGCUGGAGAGGAAAGGGGAAUUCCCAGUGUAGCGGUGAAAUGCGUAGAUAUUGGGAGGAACACCAGUGGCGAAGGCGCCUUUCUGGACUGUGUCUGACGCUGAGAUGCGAAAGCCAGGGUAGCGAACG